UUCUAACUUGCAAGAUAUUGACAGAAAUAGUAACAGAUGAAAGAGAUGGAAGAACAGAAGAGAUUGUAUUCAGCAGAUUGAAAACUUUGGAACUCAUUCAUUUAAAAAGCCUUGAAGGAUUCUGCUUGGGUAGUUUAACCUUCAAAUUCCCAUGUUUGGAAGUAGUAACCGUGAGUGGAUGCCCCAAUAUGAGGACCUUUUCUGAUGGAGUCUUAAGCACACCAAAGCUGCAGUGCGUACAUCUGCAUGAAGUGCGUUUUCAGAGUUGGCGUUGGGAGGGCAACCUUAAUGCCAC
This 295-nucleotide unclassified non-coding RNA is filed under the name Hevea brasiliensis (rubber tree). The record is from RNAcentral. Lineage: Eukaryota; Viridiplantae; Streptophyta; Magnoliopsida; Malpighiales; Euphorbiaceae.